Molecule: ribosomal RNA, 244 nt
Filed under: uncultured bacterium
Lineage: Bacteria
Description: partial 16S ribosomal RNA
Rfam family: Bacterial small subunit ribosomal RNA
Source: RNAcentral
UACGUAGGGGCGAGCGUUGUCCGGAUUUAUUGGGCGUAAAGAGCGCGUAGGUGGUUCGUAAAGUCGGAUGUGAAAGUCCAGGGCUCAACCCUGGGAUGCCAUUCGAUACUUGCGAACUGGAGCACGGUGGGGGGAUCGUGGAAUUCCUGGUGUAGCGGUGAAAUGCGCAGAUAUCAGGAAGAACACCCGUGGCGAAGGCGGCUCUCUGGGACGGUACUGACGCUGAGACGCGAAAGCGUGGGGA